This 105-nucleotide non-coding RNA is filed under the name Ornithorhynchus anatinus (platypus). Lineage: Eukaryota; Metazoa; Chordata; Mammalia; Monotremata; Ornithorhynchidae. The record is from RNAcentral.
GUGUAUGAAAGGAGAGAAGGUUAGUACACUCCUUGAGAAGGACAGAACAGGUCCUAAUGGCCUGCACAACACCAAUAUGGUUCAUUCAUUCAUUCACUCAUAUUU